RNAcentral lists this ribosomal RNA (863 nucleotides) under uncultured bacterium. Its description in RNAcentral is "bacterial SSU rRNA". It matches the Rfam family "Bacterial small subunit ribosomal RNA", at positions 629 to 1501 of the family's 1533-position model. The record is from RNAcentral.
GAUACUGGGAAGCUCGGAGUCAAGAAGAGGUAAGCAGAAUUCAUAGUGUAGCAGUGAAAUGCUUAGAUACUAUGAGGAAAUACCAACAGCGAAGGGCAGCUUACUGGUCUUGUACUGACGUUUGAGGCACGAAAGCGUGGGUAGCGAACAGGAUUAGAUACCCUGGUAGUCCACGCCGUAAACGAUGAUCACUCGAUGUACACGCUAGUCGUGUGUGUCUAAGCAAAAGCAUUAAGUGAUCCACCUGGGGAGUACGCUCGCAAGAGUGAAACUCAAAGGAAUUGACGGGAGUCCGCACAAGCGGUGGAGCAUGUGGUUUAAUUCGAUAAUACGCGAGGAACCUUACCUGGGCUCGAAUGUCUCUGCUACCUCGAGAAAUCGAGGGUUCCUUCGGGACAGAGUACAAGGUGCUGCAUGGCUGUCGUCAGCUCGUGUCGUGAGAUGUUGGGUUAAGUCCUAUAACGAGCGCAACCCCUUUACUUAGUUGCCAGCACAUCAUGGUGGGAACUCUAAGUAGACUGCCUGCGUAAGUAGGAGGAAGGAGGGGACGAGGUCAAGUCAUCAUGGCCCUUACGCCCAGGGCUACACACGUGCUACAAUGGCGUGUACAGAGGGACGCUACUUGGUAACAAGCGGCAAAUCCUCAAAGCACGUCUCAGUUCGGAUUGAGGUCUGCAACUCGACCUCAUGAAGCUGGAAUCGCUAGUAAUCGCGCAUCAGCAAUGGCGCGGUGAAUACGUUCCCGGACUUUGUACACACCGCCCGUCAAGCCAUGGGAGUUGGUAGGACCUAAAGACAGUGGCCAAUUAAGGAGCUGUUAAGGGUUAGAUCAGCGACUGGGGCUAAGUCGUAACAAGGUAACC